This is a long non-coding RNA of Oncorhynchus keta (chum salmon), 2207 nucleotides long. RefSeq lists it as uncharacterized. The transcript is spliced from 2 exons. NCBI's taxonomy places the organism in Eukaryota, Metazoa, Chordata, Actinopteri, Salmoniformes, Salmonidae. The record is from RefSeq and is a predicted model, not a curated record.
GAUCAGAGGAGUUGCUGUAAGGCUUUUUACGCGCAGCUGUAUUCCGGAAAGUUGUAUUUUCAACGAUUUCAUUGAAGAUAUCAUGGCGAAUAAAUCAGGAAAAGCGAAGUCAAAGUCUAAAGUGAAAGUGAAAAAGUGAAAGUGAGACAGGCUUUUUGUUUAAUGAAUCUUGGAGUGUUAUGAUUCAAACAAACUGAGGAGCCGUUUCUGCAAGGACAGGACGUACUUCUGGACGGUGAUAGCGACUCCGACUGGGAGCCCCCAGUGCCAGGCUGCCCGCUCUACCUGUGCCCCCAGUGGUGUUCAUAUGCCACAGUUCAUUACUGCAGGCAUGACUGUGCCUCAGGGCCAAAAGGGCACAGCAUGGAGGCCUCGUUGUGUUCUGUGUCGCAUGAAAUGCACCACUUGUUCAGUUUGCCUCUGCUUUACAUCAGAAAGAGACUGCUAUGGGACAUGGCACAGGCAGCAAAAUAUUAUGACGAGGACUUCCAAGGGGUGUACUGUUUUUUUUAAAUAUUUAUUUUCUAAUAUUUUUUUAAACAUGUUUUUUGUGUGUGUGUGUUAGAAUUGCUUUUUGAUAUGUUGUAUAUAGUUAUUUGCACUGCUGUAUAUAGUUAUAGGUAAUUUCACCAAUUCGGCCACUUGGGUACAUUUGGGCAACUUGUAUUGGACACCUGGGUGACUUCAUGCUAAAUGUCAUGUAGCUCACCCAUUCCUGAAGUUAUCAGUCUGAAACUUUGCACACCUACAGUUGCCCUCUUGUGUUAUCCAUCAAAAUGAUAUCCAGCAUCCUAUUCUAGUACAUGUGAAAGAUGAUACUACAACAAUAAAAAACAGAAAACGUAUGCUCUUUCUUUCUCUUUUCUUCCACCAGAUCUACUGUGUUAUAUUCUCCUACAUUCAAUUAACAUUUCCACAAACUUCAGAAUGAUACCAAGAAUAUGCAUAUCCUUGCAUAUCCUGAGCUACAGGCAGUUAGAUUUGGGUAUGUCUUCAGGCGGAAAUUGAGAACAAAGGGAUGCAGCCAUAACAAGUUAAGGAUCACAUCACAUCACCUCUACCUUACCUGACACCCUAGACCCACUUCAAAUUUGCAUACCGUGCCCAAUAGAUCCACAAACGAUGCAAUCGCCAUCGCACUGCACACUGCCCGAUGUAAGAAUGCUGUUCAUUGACUAUAGCUCAGCCUUCAACACCAGUCCCUAUCCAUAUCGACGGGACCGCAGUGGAGAAGGUAAAAAGCGUCAAGUUCCUUGGCGUACACAUCACCGACGAUCUGAAAUGGUCCACCCACCCAGACAGUGUGGUGAAGAAGACGCAACAGUCUUUUUAAACUUAAAAGGCUGAAGAAAUUUGGCUUGGCACCUAAGACCCUCACAAACUUUACAGAUGCACAAUUGAGAGCAUUCUGUUGGGCUGUAUCACUGCCUGGUACGGCAACUGCACUGGCAGUAACCACAGGGCUUUCCAGAGGGUGGUGCGGUCUGUCCAACGCAUCUCUGCAGGACACUUACAGCACCCGAUGUGACAGGAAGGCCAAAAAGAUCAUCACGUACAUCAACCACCUGAGCCACGGUCUGUUCAUCUCACUACCGUCCAGAAGGCAAGGUCAGUACAGGUGCAUCAAAGCGGGGACCGAGAGACUGAAAAACAGCUUAUAUCUCAAGGCCAUCGGACUGUUAAAUAGCCAUCACUAGCCGGGUACCACCCGGUUAACCAACCCUGUACCUUACAGGCUGUUGCCCUAUAUAGACUUGGAAUCACUGGUCACUUUACAAAUGGAACACUAGUCACUUUAAUAACAUUUAAAUAAUGUUUACAUACUGCUUUACCCAGAUCAUAUGUAUGUAUUGUAUUCUAUUCUACUGUAUUUUAGUCAAUGCCACUCUGACAUUGCUCAAUAUUUAUAUAUGUAAUUCAUUAAUUUAAUUUUUUUACUUUUAGAUUUGUGUGCAUUGUUGUGAAUUGUUAGAUAAUACUGCACUGUUGGAAUUAGGAACACAAGUAUUUCACUACACCCGCAAUAAUAUCUGCUAAAUAUGUGUAUGUGACCAGUCAAAUUUGAUUUGAUUUGAUCACCACACAGCCAGCUUGUCAGAAGUGGGUCUGGCUGUCUGACACAGCUCUGCCCCAUAUUAUUUCCUGCUUGCUUAAGUGUGCCAGUUGGAAUGCACUGAAAUUUGCUUCAUAAACCUAGGCUAUACCAG